GAUGAACGCUGGCGGCGUGCCUAAUACAUGCAAGUCGAGCGGACAGACGAGGAGCUUGCUCCUCUGACGUUAGCGGCGGACGGGUGAGUAACACGUGGAUAACCUACCUAUAAGACUGGGAUAACUUCGGGAAACCGGAGCUAAUACCGGAUAAUAUAUUGAACCGCAUGGUUCAAUAGUGAUAGACGGUUUUGCUGUCACUUAUAGAUGGAUCCGCGGCGCAUUAGCUAGUUGGUAAGGUAACGGCCUACCAAGGCGACGAUGCGUAGCCGACCUGAGAGGGUGAUCAGGCACACUGGAAAUGAGAAACGGGCCCGACUCCCACGGGAGGGAGCAGUGGGGAAUAUUUGCCAAUGGGGGAAAGCCUGAACGAGCCAAGCCGCGUGUGUGAAGAAGGUCUUUGGAUUGUAAAACCCUUUUUGUUGGGAGAAAGGAAAGUAAGUUAAAACCUUGCUGUUUUGACGGUACCAUAAGAAGAAGCCCCGGCUAACUUCGUG
RNAcentral lists this ribosomal RNA (497 nucleotides) under uncultured bacterium. RNAcentral's name for it is "partial 16S ribosomal RNA". It matches the Rfam family "Bacterial small subunit ribosomal RNA", at positions 28 to 507 of the family's 1533-position model. The record is from RNAcentral.